GACGAACGCUGGCGGCGUGCUUAACACAUGCAAGUCGAACGCUGAAGCUCAGCUUUUGUUGGGUGGAUGAGUGGCGAACGGGUGAGUAACACGUGAGUAACCUGCCCCCUUCUUUGGGAUAACGCCCGGAAACGGGUGCUAAUACUGGAUAUUCACUGGUCUUCGCAUGGGGGUUGGUGGAAAGGGUUUUUCUGGUGGGGGAUGGGCUCGCGGCCUAUCAGCUUGUUGGUGGGGUGAUGGCCUACCAAGGCUUUGACGGGUAGCCGGCCUGAGAGGGUGACCGGUCACAUUGGGACUGAGAUACGGCCCAGACUCCUACGGGAGGCAGAAGUGGGGAAUAUUGCACAAUGGGCGAAAGCCUGAUGCAGCGACGCCGCGUGAGGGAUGGAGGCCUUCGGGUUGUGAACCUCUUUCGCUCAUGGUCAAGCCGCAACAAUGGUUGUGGUGAGGGUAGUGGGUAAAGAAGCGCCGGCUAACUACGUG
This 483-nucleotide ribosomal RNA is filed under the name uncultured bacterium. RNAcentral describes it as "partial 16S ribosomal RNA". It matches the Rfam family "Bacterial small subunit ribosomal RNA", at positions 28 to 507 of the family's 1533-position model. The record is from RNAcentral.